This is a long non-coding RNA of Brassica napus (rape), 2921 nucleotides long. RefSeq lists it as uncharacterized. The transcript is spliced from 5 exons. NCBI's taxonomy places the organism in Eukaryota, Viridiplantae, Streptophyta, Magnoliopsida, Brassicales, Brassicaceae. The record is from RefSeq and is a predicted model, not a curated record.
AGCAAUUAAAAGAAAAGAUAAAUUGCCAUUAACUUAAGGGACGUAUUCUAAAUAGGGGGUGGAAGCAACGCCUCUUGUGGGCCACGUGUUGGUACAGUAUUGGAGGAAGAUGACGGUGGAUUCCGCGAGAAAGAGUCUCGGUACUCUCACCGUGGAAGAAUCUCGUCUGUGGCUUUCGUAACCGAAAAAUCGCCGGAGAGUUUCGUCGACGAUCAAUUUCCGUGGCUCUCCUCGAAGAAGAACCUCGGUGGCGUUGCUCGGAGAAGAAUCUCGGUGGCUAUGAGCGUCGGAGAAUCUCUGUGGCUCUCCUCGACGGAGGAAAUCGGUGGCUCUCCUUUACAAACAAACUCCUCGGUCGGCGCCAAGUUAAAUCGAAAGCUCUUCCCUCACAUGGCAAGUAAGAACCACAGAGAUUGAGAAGAAGAAAGAAAGAACCGAUAGUGGUUUGUUUUGGCGAGGAGCAAUGGCGGAGCUGCGUCACUCCAGCUCUUGGAAGCCUUGCACUGAGCGGCGCAUGGGUGGAGUCUCUGGUAUAUUAGAGAAUGGUUUGUUUUGUCUUUGUGUCAGCUUAGUAGCAAAUCUCACUUUAACUUUGUUUUUUUCAGAUGUUCUCUCCUUUCGCUGUCCUAUCAUGGAUCAAUAUGAGUUAUGGCUUCUUUUUCUUUUUGUAGUUCUGUAAUGCAGUUGUUGUUGCCAAGAUUAAGAAUGCAACUCUGAUUCUACUAGUACUGAAGCAGGACCAAAUCGUUAAGACACUGGAGACCAUCAAAAGAGUGAGUCCGAGAAGGGCUCUAUUAAUGGGAAUGGCUCAGGCGUUUGGUCACCACAAAUCUUUCAGGUAAAACUUUUCUUCUGGUCAGCUCUUGUAGUUUUGUGAUCAGGCUCUUGUAGUUUUGUGGUCAGCUCUUGUAGUUUUGUGGCCAGGCUCUUGUAAUUUUGUGGUAGGGCUCUUGUAAUUUUGUGGUCAGCUCUUGUAGUCUGCUGCUUGUUUUGUAGUGGACUUGGUUUUGUUGUAUCAUGUGUGUAUCAAACCUUUUGAUCUUGUUUUGUUGUAUCACAGACCGUUUGUUCUAAUGAAAGCAUCAGUCAUCAUCUCUUUUUAUAAACAUCAUAGUCUUCUUCUCUACUCCGUGUGUAUCAAACUUCAUCUCUCUUUUUUCACUUUAUUUUUCGGGUUCUUUCAUUUGAGAUUUCUUCUUCAAUCACAGACCACAAAUAUAUGGUUUUAUGAAUUUUCAUUUGAGAUUUCUUCUUCAAAAAAGAUUGAGAUUUCUCCUCUUCUUCUUAAAUCACAAAGUCUCUUUCCCAUUCUAUUCUUGUAUUCACAAAGUUUCUUUCCCAUUCUCCUCUUGUUCUUCAUUUAUUCACAAAGUCUAAAACAUAUAUGGCAUCUUCUUCUCAAAAUACUUUUGGAGAGUCAAUUGAUCAAACUUUCGAUCAAUAUUUUGAUCAACAUUUUGAUCAAACAUUUGAAAAUCUGUUCAUUUAUCAUGGUGAUCAAGAAGAUGAAAGAAAGAGAAGAAAAAAACGAGUUUUUAUCGAACGAAAUCGUGAAGAAGGCCAUAUCUGGUUAUGGAAUGAUUAUUUCAGCGACACUCCAACAUAUCCCGAAAUUAUUAUCGUUUGUUUCCAUACUAAGUUUUUUUAUGUUUUUAUGUUUCUAUUUUAAUAUCUAUGUUUAAAAUGUUAAGUUUGACUUUGUUUUGUUCAAUAAAUAAAUUUAAUCUUUGUUUCAAAUUUAAUGUUUAUAAAAAAAUUUAAUCUUUUUUUUAUUGUUAAGAACCUUAAUUAAGAUACCACCAAUAAACCACUAUAAUUAAUUGUCUCUUAACAAAGUCUCUUAUCUUAAUUUUAGUGAUUAAAAAAUCAUUACAACCCACUUAAGAGACACAAAUGAGUUUUACCAAUAAACAUGCUCUAAGACACUUAUUGUGUGGUUGUAUACCAUAUUACUCUUGUAAAGGCAAACUAGAGUGGGUUUAGUUAGGUUUGGUCUUUAGAACUUUUUGGGUUUUGAAAUUCAAAAAUUAAAUCUGAUUUGGGUCUUGGGGUUGGGUUCUGUAAGAAAAUGUUUUUUUUUUUUAAAUUUCCUUUAGGGUACGAAGGGGGAGUAAACCGUUUUCAUUUUCGCGAACACAGAUCCAAGAGCUCUCUCUGUUUGCUCCGACGAAGGCGACAGAGAAAGCGUUUCCGACGAGAUUUGAGUGGAGACUUUAGGAGAUACUGAAAUGACGACGAGACGGAGACGAGCAGGGAAAGAACCUGCAGCCGAGGAGGGAAAUAGAGGGGAUGGCCCCGACGAGAGAUUGCCGGAGAGGCUAUUUGCGACGGACUGAUACCUAGCAAGCGACUGAAUGUCUACUCGACACUGGAAUACCUUGUCUUUGUGAGGGAUGUCCUUCGAGGUACGCUUGAGAUGGAUCGUAUUUUGGGUUCCUGCUUUGGCAAGCUGUUCGAUUUACCGGCUCAGAGCUUAUUGUGCUGCCGGUGAUGGAGAUUGGCACAAACAAGUCAUAUGGGUGGGGAAAUGGGAUGAUGAGAUAGAAGAUAGGAAAGUGGAAUAUAUGGUUGGGCUUAUUGUAGGCGGACACAACUUCAAGAAGUCCAAGUGGGGAUGGGGUGAUGCAAAAGAGGUUCUGUACAAUCACCAGGAGCGUAAGGCAGAAAAGAAGAGAAAGAAGCAGGGGGCUGCUUCGACAACCAAUGCAGGGGAAGGGCAUGUGUUGAAGCAAAGACGGGUUAGCACGUACUUUAGAAUGCCAAUUUUAGUAGAUGACAAUAGGUAUGACCAGUUAGCUGCACGAGUGGGUUUUUUGUAACAUAAAAAUAUGUGUAUUUGAACAUAAGAGGUGAAAGUGAAUGAUAUUUUGUAAGAUUGAGGUCAGUCAUGUGAAUGUAAAUUGUUUGAAAAACAGGUGAAA